This 482-nucleotide ribosomal RNA is filed under the name uncultured bacterium. Its description in RNAcentral is "partial 16S ribosomal RNA". It matches the Rfam family "Bacterial small subunit ribosomal RNA", at positions 30 to 507 of the family's 1533-position model. The record is from RNAcentral.
AUUGAACGCUGGCGGCAUGCUUUACACAUGCAAGUCGAACGGUAACAGGCCGCAAGGUGCUGACGAGUGGCGAACGGGUGAGUAAUGCAUCGGAACGUGCCCAGUCGUGGGGGAUAACUACUCGAAAGAGUAGCUAAUACCGCAUACGAUCUAUGGAUGAAAGCGGGGGACCGUAAGGCCUCGCGCGAUUGGAGCGGCCGAUGUCAGAUUAGGUAGUUGGUGGGGUAAAGGCUCACCAAGCCAACGAUCUGUAGCUGGUCUGAGAGGACGACCAGCCACACUGGGACUGAGACACGGCCCAGACUCCUACGGGAGGCAGCAGUGGGGAAUUUUGGACAAUGGGCGCAAGCCUGGUCCAGCAAUGCCGCGUGCAGGAAGAAGGCCUUCGGGUUGUAAACUGCUUUUGUACGGGACGAAACGGCUCUGGUUAAUACCCGGGGCUAAUGACGGUACCGUAAGAAUAAGCACCGGCUAACUACGUG